CGCGCGAUGUUGCGCGGGUCGCGCGAGUACGCCUCACGGGUGAACGGGUCGUGCACGAAGAAGUUCAGGUUCAGCGUCUUGGCCGCGCGG
Molecule: transfer RNA, 90 nt
Filed under: Nocardia camponoti
Lineage: Bacteria; Bacillati; Actinomycetota; Actinomycetes; Mycobacteriales; Nocardiaceae
Description: tRNA-Val
Source: RNAcentral